RNAcentral lists this ribosomal RNA (253 nucleotides) under uncultured bacterium. RNAcentral describes it as "partial 16S ribosomal RNA". It matches the Rfam family "Bacterial small subunit ribosomal RNA", at positions 524 to 776 of the family's 1533-position model. The record is from RNAcentral.
UACAGAGGGGGCAAGCGUUGUUCGGAAUUACUGGGCGUAAAGAGCGCGCAGGCGGUCGUUCAAGUCGCGUGUGAAAGCCCCCGGCUCAACUGGGGAGGGUCACGCGAUACUGAUCGACUCGAAGGCAGGAGAGGGUAGUGGAAUUCCCGGUGUAGUGGUGAAAUGCGUAGAUAUCGGGAGGAACACCAGAGGCGAAGGCGGGUUACUGGGCUGAUACUGACGCUGAUGCGCGAAAGCCAGGGGAGCAAACGGG